This 484-nucleotide ribosomal RNA is filed under the name uncultured bacterium. RNAcentral's name for it is "partial 16S ribosomal RNA". It matches the Rfam family "Bacterial small subunit ribosomal RNA", at positions 30 to 507 of the family's 1533-position model. The record is from RNAcentral.
AUUGAACGCUGGCGGCAGGCCUAACACAUGCAAGUCGGGCGGAUGAAGGGAGCUUGCUCCUGGAUUCAGCGGCGGACGGGUGAGUAAUGCCUAGGAAUCUGCCUGGUAGUGGGGGAUAACGUCCGGAAACGGGCGCUAAUACCGCAUACGUCCUGAGGGAGAAAGUGGGGGAUCUUCGGACCUCACGCUAUCAGAUGAGCCUAGGUCGGAUUAGCUAGUUGGUGGGGUAAAGGCCUACCAAGGCGACGAUCCGUAACUGGUCUGAGAGGAUGAUCAGUCACACUGGAACUGAGACACGGUCCAGACUCCUACGGGAGGCAGCAGUGGGGAAUAUUGGACAAUGGGCGAAAGCCUGAUCCAGCCAUGCCGCGUGCGUGAAGAAGGUCUUCGGAUUGUAAAGCACUUUAAGUUGGGAGGAAGGGCAGUAAGUUAAUACCUUGCUGUUUUGACGUUACCAACAGAAUAAGCACCGGCUAACUUCGUG